RNAcentral lists this unclassified non-coding RNA (415 nucleotides) under Hevea brasiliensis (rubber tree). Lineage: Eukaryota; Viridiplantae; Streptophyta; Magnoliopsida; Malpighiales; Euphorbiaceae. The record is from RNAcentral.
UGUUAAUAUACUUUGUGUAGUUACUUGAAAUUAUGAAUUCAGAUGUACUUUGUGUACAAUAUACUUCAAUCUUUGUGAGUGAGUGAACUGCAAACAAUUUUAAAGAAUUGAAUGUUUAAAUUUUAAGCAAAUGAGCGUUGUUCUUUAAAAUUACCCAAUAAAUGCCUUCUGAUUUGUCCGAACUGCAAGUUGAUGCAUGAUCAUUGAAAUUCAAUUAGUUAUAGGAAUUAGGUUUAUUUGAAAUGCUUAAACUUCAAGAUGAUUUUAUUGAUUUUUGUUUCAGAAAGUAGGAACUGCUUAUCAAUUUUGUGUAAUGAUUAUCAGCAAUAUGCUGUUAUUAUUUUAUUUUUCUUUCUCUAGAAAUGUAGUGUCUGGUGAAAGUAUUAGAUUUACAUACUUGAAUGCAUGAUAUGGC